This 468-nucleotide ribosomal RNA is filed under the name uncultured bacterium. RNAcentral describes it as "partial 16S ribosomal RNA". It matches the Rfam family "Bacterial small subunit ribosomal RNA", at positions 28 to 507 of the family's 1533-position model. The record is from RNAcentral.
GACGAACGCUGGCGGCGUGCUUAACACAUGCAAGUCGAACGGAAAGGCCCUGCUUUUGGGGGGUGCUCGAGUGGCGAACGGGUGAGUAACACGUGAGUCACCUGCCCUUGACUUUGGGAUAACUUCAGGAAAAUGGGGCUAAUACCGGAGAGGAGCUCCUGCUGCAGGGUGCGGGUUGGAAAGUUUCGGCGGUUGGGGAUGGGCUCGGGGCUUAUCAGCGUGUGUGGGGGGUAGUGGCGUACACAGGGUUUGACGGGUAGGCGGCCUGGGAGGGUGGGCGGCGCCCUUGGGACUGCGAGACGGACCAGACUCGUACGGGGGGCAGCAGGGGGGAAUAUUGCCCAAUGGGGGGGAGUCUGUGGCAGCGACGCCGCGUGCGUGAUGACGGCCUUCGGGUUGUGAACCGCAUUCGCCUGUGACGAAGCGUUCGUGACGGUAACGGGUAAAGAAGCACCGGCUAACUACGUG